AACGCACCUUGCGCUCCUUGGUAUUCCGAGGAGCAUGCCUGUUUGAGUGUCAUUAAAUUCUCAUCCCCCCUUUGAAUUAAUUUUCUAAAGUGGGCUUGGAUUUUGGGGGUUUGCAGGUUGUUUAGACAGUCUGCUCUCCUUAAAAACAUUAGCGGAACCUUAUCUGUAGUCCGUUUUAUAGUGUGAUAAUUAUCUACGCUAUACAUGUGUAUUACAUCUUGUUCAGCUUCAAACAGUCCAUUGACUUGGACAAUCUCUUGACUAUUUUGACCUCAAAUCAGGUAGGACUACCCGCUGAACUUAA
This 304-nucleotide unclassified non-coding RNA is filed under the name uncultured fungus. Its description in RNAcentral is "sequence contains ITS2". The stretch from base 1 to 52 matches the Rfam family "5.8S ribosomal RNA", at positions 103 to 154 of the family's 154-position model. The record is from RNAcentral. Lineage: Eukaryota; Fungi.